This 4793-nucleotide long non-coding RNA is filed under the name Medicago truncatula (barrel medic). RNAcentral's name for it is "long non-coding RNA (MTRU_LNC006708)". Lineage: Eukaryota; Viridiplantae; Streptophyta; Magnoliopsida; Fabales; Fabaceae. The record is from RNAcentral.
CUAUAUCAGUAUUCAGUCAUGCAACAAAUGGUAAAGGUUAUUAUUUUGCUACAUUGUCACAUGCAAAGCUUGGAUCAAAAUUGAAGAUUAAUGAGUGCAAAGCAUACCUAGAGAGUUCUCCAUUAAAUAUUUGUAAAGUUCCCACCAAUGUGAACCAUGGGAUUAGUGGUGCUCCUCUUUCUUCUUAUCGUCUUCUUGAAAAUAAUUUUAGAUUGUACUCUUUGCCACCUUUCUUCUACACCUCUCAAGCUAAACCAAUCCUUAAUGUGCAUGACCAUUGGUUUGUCAAAUAGAGUGGAAUAAAAUUCUAUGUAUGGCUACAAAUAUAAAGAAGAAUGGAUUCUUGACUAUAUUUUUUAUUUGUUAAUUUGUGGACUUAAUUCGUAUGUAAUUGAUAAUUUGAUAUAUAAAUAAAAUCAAGGUUUGUCAUGAGUCAAAAACUUUAUUUAUUUCUUCAUAUUUCUGUAUAUACACUUGCCUAUUUUUGUUUUUUUUUUUUGGGUGAGCUGAGAACAUUCACUUUUAAUUAAUUGUUGAUUUAACCCUGAUUUAAACAUAAAAUUAUUCAAACAACAACGUUGAGGACUUUGAUCUUAGAAUUAUUAAAUUCAAAACUCUACACUUUAUUGGUACAUCUCAAUAUUUAUGACAUGUAUUAUUAUAGUAAUAUUUAUCGAUAUCAGUCACAUAUAUCGAUAAAUAUUAUGGUAAUACAUGUCAUUAAUAUAAUGUAACUGACUUGUGAAUAAUACAAGUGUAGGAUCUAGUUUUAUAAAGAAUGCAUAGUAAUGGCAGUUUUUUUAUUUAAAAAAGAAUCAUAUGAGAAACUUCCAAAUGCUUCAACAUCUCAACUUGCUACUAGUACAAAAACUGAUUUUUAACAUGUUUUUAAGGUCAUAAGUCUAUUUCUUAACCGGUGUAAGAUCUUCCGUUUUAAUAUAUGAAAUUUUUUAGGACGAUUUUUCAACUGGAUUAAAAUAAUAUGGUUCAAUCCGGUUGAGAAUUGAGAUAAACAUUCAUCUUAACAUUUUUAUCAUCAACGCAAUAUUGUGUUACAUUUUAAGUUGGUUGUGAGAAACAAAUAUAAACUUCGUGUUACAUUAUUUUAUGUCGCCUUUUGCCAAAAACCAGAGAGAAUUGAGAUAUAAUACCAAGGCUAAAGUAUACUUUUUAUUCUCUCUAUAAUUUACAAAAUGUUUGUUAUGAUCUUUUAUCGUCUUUUUUAUUCAUUUUAGUCCUUUAUCUUUCUUUUACCGAAUUGACUGGCAUCAAUUAAUAUCAUUGGUUUAAUUAAGACAAUAGGUUUGAGAUUUAGGGAGGUUUCUUUGGCACGACUCCCUUGGACUGACCAUGAAUUGCAAAGUAGUGAAUUUUUAUUGAAUGUUAUUGUAAAACUAAUUCACAUUGAUAGUGCAUACCUUUUUAACUCGUAUAAUUUCUGUCUUUAAAAAAAAGUUUAAUGAUAACCGAGUACUCUAAAUAUUAUGAAGGUUAUCUCACACGAAAUGCAAGAAAGCAAUACAUCUCAAUUUUGAAAAAGGGAUGUGUGAUUAGUUUUUUUUUUUGUUUUGUUUUGUUUUGUUUAGUAGCUUAGUGGUUGGAGCACAUAAUUAAAUGCAGAGAAGUGGGGUGUCCGAGGUUCGAACCCCGGUCCACUACAUAAAUUAUGCAAUGUCUCUACCAACUAAACUCACAGAGAUUGAUUAGUUUUGUUUUUGACGAAAAUCAUAGUGCGAUAUACAUUUAAAGUAUUCGCCUUGUAUCUUCUUAUAUUGUCGCGUUCUAAGUUAUCUUAAAAAAAAUUGGAGAAGAGAAAAUUAUUAUUAAUAGCAGUGCUAACCAUUUUACAAUAGUCCCAAAUAAGAUUUAAAAUAUAUCUCUUGAGAUUAUAUAGUCAAGUUUUGAUAAUAAAUUGACACUUCUUAUGAGUCUUCUCAAUUUGAAUCUUGAAACUUUAACUUCUUUAAUCUCUUUUCCCAAUCCGAGGGAGAUAUCAAUCUCAAGAAGGUUAAUGAUUUGUAUUCCAAUUUCAUCAAAUAUAAUUUUAAUUAUGAUUUUUUACCAUGUAAAAAUUUGCAAUCGCAUUUUUUUCACAAAAGAAUAAAAUGUGUAUCGGGCUUAAAAUGAGUUAAAUUUAAAUUAGGUGUUGUGAGAUGAAUAACUCGGAAUUAAUUAUUCUUAAUUUAUGGUGUCAAAUUACAAAAGUGAAUUCAAGUUGCUUAUAUUUCUAUUACGCUAAAUAGUCAUAGUAAUUUGGAGUUUUAUUUAAGGAAUUGUUUUGCUCAAUAAUCAAACUCAAAUUCUUCUAAACGAUUGUUUUUUUUGAUAGAGUCAUUAACCGCUUGUUUACUAUACGUUGAAUGGUUGAAAAUAUAUGUUAGCUAGCUGGCCAUGUAGUAGAGAUAUGAUCCAAUAUUCAUAGAAAAAAGAAGAUUUAAUCCAAUAAUUAUUUAGGACAUGCAAUUCAGGGUUUUAUCGUGCAUCCAUGUCAUAUCCUACAUCUUAUAAUUAUUAUUAUUAUUAUUGUAGGGACGUGUGCAUUGAUGAAAAAUUCAAAGUUAGUAAUUUAAUAAGUGACCAAAUAUGCUCUAAGUGUGUGUUUUUAGAUAGCAAUACAUGUUCUCCACUCACUAGGUAGGUGAAUGAUCUCUAGUCAUGUAUUUUCUUGCAAGGAAACAACACUCUACAAAUGAAAGACUCCCCUCCUUAUAUUUACCUAGAGCUUUAUUAUUCAUAAGCCACGACGUGCAACCAAUUAUCUUGGUCCAUCCAAUUAUUCAUAUACUCCAUAAUGCAGUAUGUAUUUAUGUUACACAAACACUAUGCUCUAUAAAUAGCCUUGAUAUUCAGGGUAUUCUACCUUACCACUGCUUUGAAGCAUUUACCACCCUUUUUCUGAAACAUUACAAAGAAACUAACUUAUGAUGGCUUCUCAUAGAUCCAUUUUCGCUAUCUCUAUCCUUCUUUUUGCGUUGCUAGCCAUAGCCUCCGCAACUGAUUAUGUGUAUGGUCCAGCACCAAACACUGAGAAGUCUGAACCCGAAAUCGAAGUAGAUAAGAAGUCAUACUCUACAAAAUCAGACUAUGAAGUUUCCAAAUCCAAAACAAAUUAUGAGUAUAGUCCAACUCCAAAGGUUGAGAAAUCCAAACUCGAUAUAGAUUACGAAGUACAUUUAAUAAAACCAAACUAUAAAGUUCCCAAACCCAAAGUAAAUUAUAGAUAUGAUCCCGUUCCAGAGAUAGAGAGACCUGAACCAGAAACAUAUUACAAACACCUCACCAAACCAAACUACGAAGUUCCCAAACCUGAAAUAGAUUAUGGGUAUAGUCCAACUCCAAAGGUUGAGAAGCCUAAGUCCGAAGAAGUUUACACAUCAAACCCCACAAAACCGGACUAUGAAGUUCCCAAAACCAAAAUAGAUUAUGGCUAUGCACCGGCUCCCAAGAUUGAGAAACCCAAGUCCGAAGCUGUUUACACACCAAACCCCACAAAACCGGACUAUGGAGUUCCCAAACCUAAAACAACCUAUGAAUAUGCCCCUGCCCCCAAGAUUGAGAAACCAAAGUCCGAAGCAAUUUACACACCAAACCCAACAAAACCAAACUAUGAAGUUCCCAAACCCAAAACAAAUUAUGAGUAUGCCCCAGCUCCCAAGAUUGAGAAACCAAAGUCUGAAGUAGUUCACACACCAAACCCCACAAAACCUGACUAUGAAGUUCCCAAAUCCAAAACUGAUUAUGGGUAUGCCCCGACCCCCAAAAUCGAGAAAUCCAAGUCUGAAGCAGUCUACACACCAAACCCCACAAAAUCAGACUAUGAAGUUCCCAAAACCAAAACAGAUUAUGAGUAUGCCCCAGCCCCCAAGAUUGAGAAACCAAAGUCUGAAGUAGUUUACACACGAAACCCCACAAAACCUGACUAUGAAGUUCCCAAAUCCAAAACUGAUUAUGGGUAUGCCCCGACCCCCAAAAUCGAGAAAUCCAAGUCUGAAGCAGUCUACACACCAAACCCCACAAAAUCAGACUAUGAAGUUCCCAAAACCAAAAUAGAUUAUGAGUAUGCCCCAGCCCCCAAGAUCGAGAAACCAAAGUCUGAAGCAGUUUACACACCAAAAUCCACAAAACCAGACUAUGAAGUUCCCAAAACAAAUUAUAACUAUGCCCCAGCACCAAAAAUUGAGAAACCCAGACUUGAUACAAAUUAUAAACUACUCCCCACAAAACCAGAUUAUGAAGUUCCAAAACCAAAAGAAAACUACGAAGUGCAACUGCCCACAAUCAUUAGUGUUCAAGGAGUGGUUUUGUGUAAAUCUGGCUCUAAUUAUUAUCCAAUUCAAGGUAAAUUUUCGCUUAUAUGAUAAAAAGGAAAAGAAAAUUAAAAACAUAACUCACCUAGCUAUAAUACUUUUUUACAACAUUUCUUAUGUUUUUCAUGUUUGACAUUGAAACCAAUUAGUUUAUGUUAGUCAGGACUUUAAAAUUUGAUGAUAUAUCAUUGAUUAUAUAUUUAUCAUGUGUGAGAAAUGCAGGGGCUGUAGCACGAGUUACAUGUGAAUGUGUGAAUGAGCUUGGAUAUGAGACAGGUCCUAUAACAGUAUUGAGUCAUGUAACAGAUAGUAAAGGUUAUUACUAUGUUACAUUGUCACUUGCAGAGUUGGGAUCAAAGUUGAAGAUUAACGAAUGCAAAGCAUACCUAGAGAGUUCUCCAUUAGAGACAUGUAAAGUUCCCACCGAUGUGAACCAUGGCAUCAGUGGUGCUCCUCUUUCUUCUUACCGUCUUCUUGAAAACAAUU